CUAUACAUGCAGUCGAGCGAACGGACGAGAAGCUUGCUUCUCUGAUGUUAGCGGCGGACGGGUGAGUAACACGUGGAUAACCUACCUAUAAGACUGGGAUAACUUCGGGAAACCGGAGCUAAUACCGGAUAAUAUUUUGAACCGCAUGGUUCAAAAGUGAAAGACGGUCUUGCUGUCACUUAUAGAUGGAUCCGCGCUGCAUUAGCUAGUUGGUAAGGUAACGGCUUACCAAGGCAACGAUGCAUAGCCGACCUGAGAGGGUGAUCGGCCACACUGGAACUGAGACACGGUCCAGACUCCUACGGGAGGCAGCAGUAGGGAAUCUUCCGCAAUGGGCGAAAGCCUGACGGAGCAACGCCGCGUGAGUGAUGAAGGUCUUCGGAUCGUAAAACUCUGUUAUUAGGGAAGAACAUAUGUGUAAGUAACUGUGCACAUCUUGACGGUACCUAAUCAGAAAGCCACGGCUAACUACGUGCCAGCAGCCGCGGUAAUACGUAGGUGGCAAGCGUUAUCCGGAAUUAUUGGGCGUAAAGCGCGCGUAGGCGGUUUUUUAAGUCUGAUGUGAAAGCCCACGGCUCAACCGUGGAGGGUCAUUGGAAACUGGAAAACUUGAGUGCAGAAGAGGAAAGUGGAAUUCCAUGUGUAGCGGUGAAAUGCGCAGAGAUAUGGAGGAACACCAGUGGCGAAGGCGACUUUCUGGUCUGUAACUGACGCUGAUGUGCGAAAGCGUGGGGAUCAAACAGGAUUAGAUACCCUGGUAGUCCACGCCGUAAACGAUGAGUGCUAAGUGUUAGGGGGUUUCCGCCCCUUAGUGCUGCAGCUAACGCAUUAAGCACUCCGCCUGGGGAGUACGACCGCAAGGUUGAAACUCAAAGGAAUUGACGGGGACCCGCACAAGCGGUGGAGCAUGUGGUUUAAUUCGAAGCAACGCGAAGAACCUUACCAAAUCUUGACAUCCUUUGACAACUCUAGAGAUAGAGCUUUCCCCUUCGGGGGACAA
Molecule: ribosomal RNA, 1000 nt
Filed under: Staphylococcus argenteus
Lineage: Bacteria; Bacillati; Bacillota; Bacilli; Caryophanales; Staphylococcaceae
Also listed under: 1 other name
Description: bacterial SSU rRNA
Rfam family: Bacterial small subunit ribosomal RNA
Source: RNAcentral